GACGAACGCUGGCGGCGUGCUUAACACAUGCAAGUCGAACGGAAAGGCCCUGCUUUUGUGCGGUGCUCGAGUGGCAAACGGGCGCGUAACACUAGCGUAACCUGCCCUUGCCUUUCGGCUCACUUCAGGACACUGGGGCUAAUACCGGUUAGGAGCUCCUGCUGCUUGGUGGGGGCUGGAAAGUCUCGGCGGUUGGGGAUGGACUCGCGGCUUAUCAGCUUGUUGGUGGGGUAGUGGCUUACCAAGGCUUUGGCGGGUAGCCGGCCUGAGAGUGUGACCGGCCACAGUGGGACUGAGAUACGGCCCAGACUCCUACGGGAGGCAGGAGUGGGGGAGAUUGCACGAUGGGCGGAAGCCGGAUGCAGCAACGCCGCGUGCGGGAUGACGGCCUUCGGGUUGUAAGCCGCUUUCGCCUGUGACGGAGCGUUAGUGACGGUAAUGGGUAAAGAAGCACCGGCUAACUACGUG
Molecule: ribosomal RNA, 468 nt
Filed under: uncultured bacterium
Lineage: Bacteria
Description: partial 16S ribosomal RNA
Rfam family: Bacterial small subunit ribosomal RNA
Source: RNAcentral